AUGGGAUGUCACAGGUGCAAUAGACUAAUGUAUGUCACAGCUUGCCUAUUGAGUUAUAUGCUGGUUUGCUCUUGUAAGAGCCAGCACUGCUGUUAUGCUGUCAACACGAGGUUUCAGAAGGAAUUCCUUUGGGAGUGCCUUGGGAGGCCUUUUGAAAUGAUACAUUUUUAAUAAACAUGUGUCUUGGGAGAGGGAGAGGGAGGAAGACAGAUUCUGUAUACAGGUAUUUAAACUAUUUUGUGUGUGUGCGUCUGUGUUUCUGUGUGUGUGUUUGUCCAUGUGUCCUAUAGUACCUUUGAAGAUACUUCAGAAAAUAACAUUUUGUAUGCUCUUGUUCCAUGGCAUAUAUUUAAAACUAAAACAAUAAAGAAACCAACAUUUUAGGAAAAGUACUACA
Molecule: long non-coding RNA, 397 nt
Filed under: Anser cygnoides (Swan goose)
Lineage: Eukaryota; Metazoa; Chordata; Aves; Anseriformes; Anatidae
Description: lncRNA (ENSACDG00005001952.1)
Source: RNAcentral